UUAAGUUCAGCGGGUAUCCCUACCUGAUCCGAGGUCAAACUGGGGUGUGACUUGAUGGACGCUGGACCGCCGUGGCCUCGAGAAGCGCAAUGUGCUGCGCGGGAGGCGGGCUGGUCCGCUGCCAAUACCUUUGGGGCGAGUCCGCGCACGCGGCGGGACAGACGCCCAACACCAAGCAGAGCUUGAGGGGGUAAAUGACG
This 200-nucleotide unclassified non-coding RNA is filed under the name Pleurophoma sp. RNAcentral describes it as "partial internal transcribed spacer 2". Lineage: Eukaryota; Fungi; Ascomycota; Dothideomycetes; Pleosporales; Lentitheciaceae. The record is from RNAcentral.